Molecule: transfer RNA, 77 nt
Filed under: Thauera sp.
Lineage: Bacteria; Pseudomonadati; Pseudomonadota; Betaproteobacteria; Rhodocyclales; Zoogloeaceae
Also listed under: 1 other name
Description: tRNA-Ile
Rfam family: tRNA
About the family: Transfer RNA (tRNA) molecules are approximately 80 nucleotides in length. Their secondary structure includes four short double-helical elements and three loops (D, anti-codon, and T loops). Further hydrogen bonds mediate the characteristic L-shaped molecular structure. tRNAs have two regions of fundamental functional importance: the anti-codon, which is responsible for specific mRNA codon recognition, and the 3' end, to which the tRNAs corresponding amino acid is attached (by aminoacyl-tRNA synthetases). tRNAs cope with the degeneracy of the genetic code in two manners: having more than one tRNA (with a specific anti-codon) for a particular amino acid; and 'wobble' base-pairing, i.e. permitting non-standard base-pairing at the 3rd anti-codon position.
Source: RNAcentral
GGGCCGUUAGCUCAGUUGGUUAGAGCAGUCGACUCAUAAUCGAUUGGUCACAGGUUCAAGUCCUGUACGGCCCACCA